This is a microRNA precursor of Dichanthelium oligosanthes, 202 nucleotides long. It matches the Rfam family "MIR1435 microRNA precursor family". The record is from Rfam. Lineage: Eukaryota; Viridiplantae; Streptophyta; Magnoliopsida; Poales; Poaceae.
UAGCUUUUGUCUUAAGUCAAACUUAUCUAACUUUGACCGAGUUUAUAGAAAAAUAGAAUAACAUCUACAAUACCAAAUAAAUGCACUAUCAAGACAUAUUUCUUGGUGGAUUCAAUGAAACUAAUUUGAUGUUGUAGAUGUUGAUGAUUUUUUCUAUAAACUUGGUCACAGUUAGAGAAGUUUGACUUAGGACAAAGCUAAA